CCUACGGGAGGCAGCAGUGAGGAAUAUUGGUCAAUGGACGAGAGUCUGAACCAGCCAAGUAGCGUGAAGGAUGACUGCCCUAUGGGUUGUAAACUUCUUUUAUAUGGGAAUAAAAUGUUCCACGUGUGGGAUUUUGUAUGUACCAUAUGAAUAAGGAUCGGCUAACUCCGUGCCAGCAGCCGCGGUAAUACGGAGGAUCCGAGCGUUAUCCGGAUUUAUUGGGGUUAAAGGGAGCGUAGGUGGAUUGUUAAGUCAGUUGUGAAAGUUUGUGGCUCAACCGUAAAAUUGCAGUUGAAACUGGCAGUCUUGAGUACAGGAGAGGUGGGCGGAAUUCGUGGUGUAGCGGUGAAAUGCUUAGAUAUCACGAAGAACUCCGAUUGCGAAGGCAGCUCACUGGACUGCAACUGACACUGAGGCUCGAAAGUGUGGGGAUCAAACAGGAUUAGAUACCCGGGUAGUC
Molecule: ribosomal RNA, 460 nt
Filed under: uncultured bacterium
Lineage: Bacteria
Description: partial 16S ribosomal RNA
Rfam family: Bacterial small subunit ribosomal RNA
Source: RNAcentral